GGGUUUGAGAGAUUUUGGAGUGUUUUAAUUUUGGUGAGAUUUAGGUGUGUUUCGAAGUGAUUUAAGUGAUUUUAGUAAAAAAUUAAAAUUAAAAAUAAAAUUUUACUGGAAAUUUUAGAAUUGUUUAGGUGAUUUGGCAAGAUAUUUACUGAAAAUUUUAGAAUUGUUUAGGUGAUUUGAAAUAAUAAUAUUUAACUUAUAAUAUUUUCUCCAGUGUUGAGAAAAUCAAUUCUCAAAUACGGAGAUCUAUGAAAUAAGUACGUAUAGUUCUAAUCAUGUGAACACAUGAAUACAUUUCAAAGUUCACUUUUUUUUUCCCUUUUGUAUUCAUGAGUGUGGAUGCUAGCUUAUCUUUCUCUUCUUGAUUAAUCAGUGUUUCUGAAAUAGUUGCUUUAUGUUGUAUUUGUUUGUGGUAACCUGUCCCUAGCUUGCAUCGUGGUAAUGACAUCUCCCUUUUCUUUCAUCAUUAUGCUCCAUAUUCAUCUGUGUAGGUUAGCUUCCAUGGUCUGAUUAGAUACUUUGCUCAGGAUGAUCUUAUAGAGUGGGAUGUCUUUCAUCAAUGAACCAUUUCUAGAGAUAAAUUAUACCUUUAAAUAGACUUUCCAUACUUCAUCAUCUGCUGUGAACUUGUUUGUUUCAGAGUCCCACCCAAAACCAGAGUUACAACGAAGAAAAUCUGUCAAAUUAUGGUACCUGGUUUUCAGGAUCUUCAUCCUAUUUUUGUAGUGGCCAUAUGUUUUCUUCGAUCCAAGUUGUUGGCGUAGAACUGAUAAUACUCUUGUCUCGAUCGUUAGCUUAUUGAAUUUACCACUAGCAUCACGGAAACCAUUGUUGAUCGCAUCCAUUAGUGACCGUAAUAACAAUCUGUUUUCAGGUCCAGACCAUGAAUGAUAUUGACCCUUACCUUUUGCAUCUUGGGAAUCUCCCAUUUUAUGGAAGCUAACUAAUCACAAAGUACAACAGGGAUGGUAAGAACAUUAUGCAAAGAAAAACUAUAUAUAUUCAUGAAAACAUAACAAAGUAUUAAAACAAACGUGGAUGUAAAAUAAAGUAAAUAAAAAUACUACUCAUUAUGAUAGAAAAGAGGAUGAUCUUUGAAGUUCAAUAACAAUUUGGAAGCCUCUCCCUUUAGAAUAUAAGAUAACUACGUGAUAUUGAACACAUAAAUACACUGAUAUCUAUGACCACUUCCAACGGGGGUCUCUAAAGGAGGGGUUUUAAGGAAAAGGAAAAUAAAAAUAAAUGAAAAAUAAUUAAAAGUCAGAGAACCGCUGUUUAUUUCGGGACUUUUAGAGUUGUUAAGAGACCUUACUUGUCAUGGUCUUAUUCGACCUCUCAUCUAUGACUCUCUCCUUCGUCGGCUUGUCCUUCUCCGCUCCGUUCGUUGCAAGCGUUCGACCGCUCCGUUCGUCCCCUUGUCCUCCUCCGCUCCGUAGGCGAAAUCAAUCGUUUUCUUCCUCCUCCGCUCCGUUCGUUGCAAGCUCGAGUCCUCCGCUCCGAUCAAACCUCCCGAGUUGAUGCGUGUCUGCUUCCAUGAAUUGAAGACUGCGGUGGUGUUGUUGGGAGAUACGGAGAUUCAUUUAGUGGCGAUGCCGAGCAAGGAGAAGAAGUUCCCUUGUUUCUAGUGUUUCUCAGUCUCUUUAGGUCUUUAUGAUUUCUUAUUCGGAUCAAUCCUGAGGUUAGUAGACAAUCGAGAGCGCUUUGUUCAUCCUCUGAACGAAUUUGAGUGUUUGUUAUAUAUGAUUUUAUUAGAGAGAUUGUUUCUGAGUAUAACGUUUACGAGCAUAUGGUGAUUACUAAGAUCAAAGGUCUGUUUCUACACUCAGUGCUUUGAUUUGCUCUCGUUGUUGUUAUCUUAACGUCACGUGAUGAUUCAAUGUUUGUAUGCAGAUGGUGUAAACGUUGCUGCAUCUCAUACUCUAAUAUCAGGCGGUUUAACCUUUGGUGUUGGAGUCUUUGCUCUGAAAAGUGUUCUGAAGUUUAGAUGUGGUGGUAAAGUAAGUAAGCUUUAACAUGUUGUCUUGGUCUGUGCUGGAAUGAUGUUGCAAACCCAACAUCUUUUGCUUUCUCAGUUGUUUUUUGUGAAGAACAUUUGGUUUAACAAUGAAUAUAACCCUAACCCAACGUUAUGCAUGGCUUACUCUGAGUUUAACCCAACGUCUCUUUAUUAUA
Long non-coding RNA from Brassica napus (rape), 2172 nucleotides. RefSeq lists it as uncharacterized. The record is from RefSeq and is a predicted model, not a curated record. NCBI's taxonomy places the organism in Eukaryota, Viridiplantae, Streptophyta, Magnoliopsida, Brassicales, Brassicaceae. The transcript is spliced from 3 exons.